AGUCUACUGAGGGCGCAGAAUGUGGUUCUAUCUACCCCACCUGUACCUCAGUUUGGAAAUAGUUUCUGUGAUUCCCUCGAGAUACUGUUUAUUUCAUAUCUCUUUCAUAGAUUGCUUUCCAGAUGUACUGUGCCUUAUAUUCUUUGCCCAUCACUGAUUUCAGUACAGCUCUUCCACAAUAAUACCGUUUAUGCCCCAGAUAGGAAAUACCCCCUAAAAUUUUGUUAGCUACAGUCAAGGACAGAUUACUUGGACACUGUCACAGGACGACCCCAUACAUCCCUUUGUUCGCGCCCAGGAUGCCAUUUUGUGUAUGAUUUGUAUCCUCAAACCAUCUUUAACUGCUGGCUCCAAGAUAUUAUAGAUCCAGUUCUGCUUUCC
Ornithodoros turicata is the source of this 381-nucleotide long non-coding RNA. RefSeq lists it as uncharacterized. The record is from RefSeq and is a predicted model, not a curated record. NCBI's taxonomy places the organism in Eukaryota, Metazoa, Arthropoda, Arachnida, Ixodida, Argasidae. The transcript has 2 exons.